GGUUAAGCGACUAAGCGUACACGGUGGAUGCCCUGGCAGUCAGAGGCGAUGAAGGACGUGCUAAUCUGCGAUAAGCGUCGGUAAGGUGAUAUGAACCGUUAUAACCGGCGAUUUCCGAAUGGGGAAACCCAGUGUGUUUCGACACACUAUCAUUAACUGAAUCCAUAGGUUAAUGAGGCGAACCGGGGGAACUGAAACAUCUAAGUACCCCGAGGAAAAGAAAUCAACCGAGAUUCCCCCAGUAGCGGCGAGCGAACGGGGAGGAGCCCAGAGCCUGAAUCAGUGUGUGUGUUAGUGGAAGCGUCUGGAAAGGCGCGCGAUACAGGGUGACAGCCCCGUACACAAAAAUGCACAUACUGUGAGCUCGAUGAGUAGGGCGGGACACGUGGUAUCCUGUCUGAAUAUGGGGGGACCAUCCUCCAAGGCUAAAUACUCCUGACUGACCGAUAGUGAACCAGUACCGUGAGGGAAAGGCGAAAAGAACCCCGGCGAGGGGAGUGAAAAAGAACCUGAAACCGUGUACGUACAAGCAGUGGGAGCACGCUUCGGCGUGUGACUGCGUACCUUUUGUAUAAUGGGUCAGCGACUUAUAUUCUGUAGCAAGGUUAACCGAAUAGGGGAGCCGAAGGGAAACCGAGUCUUAACUGGGCGUUAAGUUGCAGGGUAUAGACCCGAAACCCGGUGAUCUAGCCAUGGGCAGGUUGAAGGUUGGGUAACACUAACUGGAGGACCGAACCGACUAAUGUUGAAAAAUUAGCGGAUGACUUGUGGCUGGGGGUGAAAGGCCAAUCAAACCGGGAGAUAGCUGGUUCUCCCCGAAAGCUAUUUAGGUAGCGCCUCGUGAAUUCAUCUCCGGGGGUAGAGCACUGUUUCGGCAAGGGGGUCAUCCCGACUUACCAACCCGAUGCAAACUGCGAAUACCGGAGAAUGUUAUCACGGGAGACACACGGCGGGUGCUAACGUCCGUCGUGAAGAGGGAAACAACCCAGACCGCCAGCUAAGGUCCCAAAGUCAUGGUUAAGUGGGAAACGAUGUGGGAAGGCCCAGACAGCCAGGAUGUUGGCUUAGAAGCAGCCAUCAUUUAAAGAAAGCGUAAUAGCUCACUGGUCGAGUCGGCCUGCGCGGAAGAUGUAACGGGGCUAAACCAUGCACCGAAGCUGCGGCAGCGACACUAUGUGUUGUUGGGUAGGGGAGCGUUCUGUAAGCCUGCGAAGGUGGCCUGUGAGGGUUGCUGGAGGUAUCAGAAGUGCGAAUGCUGACAUAAGUAACGAUAAAGCGGGUGAAAAGCCCGCUCGCCGGAAGACCAAGGGUUCCUGUCCAACGUUAAUCGGGGCAGGGUGAGUCGACCCCUAAGGCGAGGCCGAAAGGCGUAGUCGAUGGGAAACAGGUUAAUAUUCCUGUACUUGGUGUUACUGCGAAGGGGGGACGGAGAAGGCUAUGUUGGCCGGGCGACGGUUGUCCCGGUUUAAGCGUGUAGGCUGGUUUUCCAGGCAAAUCCGGAAAAUCAAGGCUGAGGCGUGAUGACGAGGCACUACGGUGCUGAAGCAACAAAUGCCCUGCUUCCAGGAAAAGCCUCUAAGCAUCAGGUAACAUCAAAUCGUACCCCAAACCGACACAGGUGGUCAGGUAGAGAAUACCAAGGCGCUUGAGAGAACUCGGGUGAAGGAACUAGGCAAAAUGGUGCCGUAACUUCGGGAGAAGGCACGCUGAUAUGUAGGUGAAGUCCCUCGCGGAUGGAGCUGAAAUCAGUCGAAGAUACCAGCUGGCUGCAACUGUUUAUUAAAAACACAGCACUGUGCAAACACGAAAGUGGACGUAUACGGUGUGACGCCUGCCCGGUGCCGGAAGGUUAAUUGAUGGGGUCAGCGCAAGCGAAGCUCUUGAUCGAAGCCCCGGUAAACGGCGGCCGUAACUAUAACGGUCCUAAGGUAGCGAAAUUCCUUGUCGGGUAAGUUCCGACCUGCACGAAUGGCGUAAUGAUGGCCAGGCUGUCUCCACCCGAGACUCAGUGAAAUUGAACUCGCUGUGAAGAUGCAGUGUACCCGCGGCAAGACGGAAAGACCCCGUGAACCUUUACUAUAGCUUGACACUGAACAUUGAGCCUUGAUGUGUAGGAUAGGUGGGAGGCUUUGAAGUGUGGACGCCAGUCUGCAUGGAGCCGACCUUGAAAUACCACCCUUUAAUGUUUGAUGUUCUAACGUUGACCCGUAAUCCGGGUUGCGGACAGUGUCUGGUGGGUAGUUUGACUGGGGCGGUCUCCUCCUAAAGAGUAACGGAGGAGCACGAAGGUUGGCUAAUCCUGGUCGGACAUCAGGAGGUUAGUGCAAUGGCAUAAGCCAGCUUGACUGCGAGCGUGACGGCGCGAGCAGGUGCGAAAGCAGGUCAUAGUGAUCCGGUGGUUCUGAAUGGAAGGGCCAUCGCUCAACGGAUAAAAGGUACUCCGGGGAUAACAGGCUGAUACCGCCCAAGAGUUCAUAUCGACGGCGGUGUUUGGCACCUCGAUGUCGGCUCAUCACAUCCUGGGGCUGAAGUAGGUCCCAAGGGUAUGGCUGUUCGCCAUUUAAAGUGGUACGCGAGCUGGGUUUAGAACGUCGUGAGACAGUUCGGUCCCUAUCUGCCGUGGGCGCUGGAGAACUGAGGGGGGCUGCUCCUAGUACGAGAGGACCGGAGUGGACGCAUCACUGGUGUUCGGGUUGUCAUGCCAAUGGCACUGCCCGGUAGCUAAAUGCGGAAGAGAUAAGUGCUGAAAGCAUCUAAGCACGAAACUUGCCCCGAGAUGAGUUCUCCCUGACUCCUUGAGAGUCCUGAAGGAACGUUGAAGACGACGACGUUGAUAGGCCGGGUGUGUAAGCGCAGCGAUGCGUUGAGCUAACCGGUACUAAUGAACCGUGAGGCUUAACCUUACAACGC
This 2910-nucleotide ribosomal RNA is filed under the name Escherichia coli 042. RNAcentral describes it as "bacterial LSU rRNA". It matches the Rfam family "Bacterial large subunit ribosomal RNA". Lineage: Bacteria; Pseudomonadati; Pseudomonadota; Gammaproteobacteria; Enterobacterales; Enterobacteriaceae. The record is from RNAcentral.